RNAcentral lists this long non-coding RNA (281 nucleotides) under Mustela putorius furo (domestic ferret). RNAcentral's name for it is "lncRNA (ENSMPUG00000026165.1)". The record is from RNAcentral. Lineage: Eukaryota; Metazoa; Chordata; Mammalia; Carnivora; Mustelidae.
CGCAAACAAUCACUGAAAACCUGCUUUGUAUAUUAAUGCUAGACCCACACCUUAAGAUGAGCUGUGGGAAUGCAAAACCAAGACCAAGAGAAGCAAGGCUGGAGGUUCUGGGCCCACCUUUAAAAGACAUGAAGAAACUGGAGGAAGGAAGGAGGAGGACAUCGAAAAUGAUCAAGGAGGCAAGGGCAGGAGAGCCAUCCAAGGAUAGAUCAAAAUGGACCCCUUUGUUCUGGAAAUGUAAAGGCCAUUUUCAAAUCUACCUCAGAAAUGAAGUUGUUUGA